Molecule: ribosomal RNA, 508 nt
Filed under: uncultured bacterium
Lineage: Bacteria
Description: partial 16S ribosomal RNA
Rfam family: Bacterial small subunit ribosomal RNA
Source: RNAcentral
GAUGAACGCUAGCUACAGGCUUAACACAUGCAAGUCGAGGGGAAACGAUAGAGAAAGCUUGCUUUUUCUAGGCGUCGACCGGCGCACGGGUGAGUAACGCGUAUCCAACCUGCCCAUCACUUGGGGAUAACCUUGCGAAAGUAAGACUAAUACCCAAUGACGUCUCUAGAAGACAUCUGAAAGAGAUUAAAGAUUUAUCGGUGAUGGAUGGGGAUGCGUCUGAUUAGCUUGUUGGCGGGGUAACGGCCCACCAAGGCGACGAUCAGUAGGGGUUCUGAGAGGAAGGUCCCCCACAUUGGAACUGAGACACGGUCCAAACUCCUACGGGAGGCAGCAGUGAGGAAUAUUGGUCAAUGGGCGAGAGCCUGAACCAGCCAAGUAGCGUGCAGGAUGACGGCCCUAUGGGUUGUAAACUGCUUUUAUAAGGGAAUAAAGUGGGAGUCGUGACUCUUUUUGCAUGUACCUUAUGAAUAAGGACCGGCUAAUUCCGUGCCAGCCGCCGCCGUAA